RNAcentral lists this long non-coding RNA (372 nucleotides) under Durio zibethinus. RNAcentral describes it as "long non-coding RNA (DZIB_LNC000777)". Lineage: Eukaryota; Viridiplantae; Streptophyta; Magnoliopsida; Malvales; Malvaceae. The record is from RNAcentral.
GCCUUUAGGGUUUAAUGCUUCCCUAUAUGUAUAAAAUCUCUAUGCUCUAGUUUCUCUUCUCGUUCACGCCGCAGCCUCAGUAGAACAUCAAACCAGAGAUUUUGAACUGCAAAAAGAGGCCAAUUUGAAAGCCUUUUCACCAUGAGAGCUAAGGUAAAAACCUCAAUAUCUGAAAAAAAAUAUUUUCUUUCUGAUCUUUGGAUUGUUUUUUGGUUGAAAUGUUGAUAUGGGUUUCUGAUAAUUUCAGUGGAAGAAGAAGCGUAUGAGGAGGUUGAAGAGGAAGAGAAGAAAGAUGAGGCAAAGAUCUAAGUAGUUCUUUAGAUUUCUGUUGUUUGGUGGGUACUCUUUUGUUAAAGGAUUAAAGUUGUGGAU